Molecule: ribosomal RNA, 391 nt
Filed under: uncultured Fusibacter sp.
Lineage: Bacteria; Bacillati; Bacillota; Clostridia; Eubacteriales; Fusibacteraceae
Description: bacterial SSU rRNA
Rfam family: Bacterial small subunit ribosomal RNA
Source: RNAcentral
UUGACCAUCUUUAAUCGAGACUUUUUGCCUCGGGUACAAUGAGACAGGUGGUGCAUGGUUGUCGUCAGCUCGUGUCGUGAGAUGUUGGGUUAAGUCCCGCAACGAGCGCAACCCUUGUGUUAGUUGCAAACAGGUCAAGCUGUGCACUCUAGACAGACUGCCGUGGACAACACGGAGGAAGGUGGGGAUGACGUCAAAUCAUCAUGCCCCUUAUGAUCUGGGCUACACACGUGCUACAAUGGCCGGUACAACGGGCAGCGAAGGAGCGAUCCGGAGCGAAUCCUAAAAAGCCGGUCCCAGUUCGGAUUGCAGGCUGAAACUCGCCUACAUGAAGUUGGAGUUGCUAGUAAUCGCGAAUCAGAAUGUCGCGGUGAAUGCGUUCCCGGGUCUU